AAGCUCGUAGUUGAAUUUCGGGAUCAGUUUGUUGGUCGUGCUUCGGUACGUACUGUCAUUACUGGUUUCUCCCUUCUGAAGAACCUUGAUGUCAUUAAUUUGGUGUCUUGGGGAAUCAGGACUGUUACUUUGAAAAAAUUAGAGUGUUUAAAGCAAGCAUACGCUUGAAUACAUUAGCAUGGAAUAAUGAAAUAGGACGUUUGAUUCUAUCUUGUUGGUUUCUAGGAUCGACGUAAUGAUUAAUAGGGAUAGUUGGG
RNAcentral lists this ribosomal RNA (257 nucleotides) under uncultured Glomeromycotina. RNAcentral describes it as "partial 18S ribosomal RNA". It matches the Rfam family "Eukaryotic small subunit ribosomal RNA", at positions 624 to 886 of the family's 1831-position model. The record is from RNAcentral. Lineage: Eukaryota; Fungi; Glomeromycota.